Molecule: ribosomal RNA, 763 nt
Filed under: Phyllosticta podocarpicola
Lineage: Eukaryota; Fungi; Ascomycota; Dothideomycetes; Botryosphaeriales; Phyllostictaceae
Description: eukaryotic LSU rRNA
Rfam family: Eukaryotic large subunit ribosomal RNA
Source: RNAcentral
CGGCGAGUGAAGCGGCAAUAGCUCAAAUUUGAAAGCUGGCGUCUUCGACGUCCGCGUUGUAAUUUGUAGAGGAUGCUUCGGCAAGGACUCCUGCCUAAGUCCCCUGGAACGGGGCGUCACAGAGGGUGAGAAUCCCGUAUGUGGCGGGCGGUCCGAGCCAUGUGAAGCUCCUUCGACGAGUCGAGUUGUUUGGGAAUGCAGCUCUAAAUGGGAGGUAAAUUUCUUCUAAAGCUAAAUAUUGGCCAGAGACCGAUAGCGCACAAGUAGAGUGAUCGAAAGAUGAAAAGCACUUUGGAAAGAGAGUUAAAAAGUACGUGAAAUUGUUGAAAGGGAAGCGCUUGCAACCAGACUCGCUCGCAGUUGCUCAGCCGGCCUCUUGGCCGGUGUACUCUUCUGCGAUCGGGCCAGCAUCGGUUCGGGCGGCCGGAUAAAGGUGUCGGGAAUGUAGCACCCUUCGGGGUGUGUUAUAGCCCGGCGCGGAAUGCGGCCAGCCUGGACCGAGGAUCUCGCUUCGGCAAGGAUGCUGGCGUAAUGGUUGUAAGCGGCCCGUCUUGAAACACGGACCAAGGAGUCUAACAUCUAUGCGAGUGUUUGGGUGUCAAACCCAUGCGCGUAAUGAAAGUGAACGGAGGUGGGAACCCCUCACGGGGUGCACCAUCGACCGAUCCUGAUGUCUUCGGAUGGAUUUGAGUAAGAGCAUAGCUGUUGGGACCCGAAAGAUGGUGAACUAUGCCUGAAUAGGGUGAAGCCAGAGGAAACUCUG